GAUUCCACGCGCGCCUCUCGUUCCUUUUGACUCCUCCCCCCGAGGUCUGGUUGGCAGCAGCAGCAGCAAAUAGGAAGAGCGGUUCUAUUUCUCUCUUUCGGCUUCAUCCUAGUCACCAGUAUUGCCAUUGGCCGGCGACAAUUCAGGAAUUCCCCUCCUCCCUCUUCCCUUCAGGAGAUUAUGGCUGUGAGAGAGUGCCUGUUGUAAGAUCAUCCAGUGAGCAUGAACGGAAAAGAUUUGAAAUGCAGCUUCUCUGGCGCCUGGUUCCACAAUCUGUGCUAUCUGUUAACCAGCUUGGAUUGAUCAGUUGCACAUCAGAGCACAUGAAGGAAGCAGCAAGUCACCUCCUUCCCUGUCUUGCCUGGGACUCAGCUACAACUGAGGACCCCUCCCUUUAUGGCAGCGAUGGUGAAGUGGUUAAAAGUGUCAGACUAGGACUGAAGAGAUGUGGGUUUAAAUCCCCACACAAUAACCCUGUCUCAACCUAACCUACUUCACAGGGUUCUUGUGAGGCUAAAAUGGAGCACAUAUGCCAUCCUGUGCUCUUUGUAGGGUGGGAUCAAACUAUGAUGGUGGUAUCAUUUUCCCACUGGGUAACUAAAAAGGUUGAAGGGAUUAAAAAAGGGGGGAAAGAACCCUUACACAUUUAAGUACCAAGACCAACGCCCAAAGAUAAGUACCAAAAUCUUUAAUAAAUUCCAAGAAUUAAAAACAUUUGAGUAAAACCAUA
This is a long non-coding RNA of Eublepharis macularius, 730 nucleotides long. RefSeq lists it as uncharacterized. NCBI's taxonomy places the organism in Eukaryota, Metazoa, Chordata, Lepidosauria, Squamata, Eublepharidae. The transcript is spliced from 2 exons. The record is from RefSeq and is a predicted model, not a curated record.